UAAAGUGUUAUGUGAACAGUUGUAGUUCUUUACUAGCUUUAAGUCCUUUUCUUAACACUGGACUUAAAGCUAGUAAAGAACUACAACUGUUCACAUAAC
RNAcentral lists this microRNA precursor (99 nucleotides) under Paramuricea clavata. The record is from RNAcentral. Lineage: Eukaryota; Metazoa; Cnidaria; Anthozoa; Malacalcyonacea; Plexauridae.